This 672-nucleotide ribosomal RNA is filed under the name Blautia sp. A-C1-0c. RNAcentral's name for it is "bacterial SSU rRNA". It matches the Rfam family "Bacterial small subunit ribosomal RNA", at positions 44 to 733 of the family's 1533-position model. Lineage: Bacteria; Bacillati; Bacillota; Clostridia; Lachnospirales; Lachnospiraceae. The record is from RNAcentral.
UCGAGCGAAGCAUUUAAGACAGAUCUCUUCGGAUUAAGUCUUAUCUGAUUGAGCGGCGGACGGGUGAGUAACGCGUGGGUAACCUGCCUCAUACAGGGGGAUAACAGUUAGAAAUGACUGCUAAUACCGCAUAAGCGCACAGGGCUGCAUGGCCCGGUGUGAAAAACUCCGGUGGUAUGAGAUGGACCCGCGUCUGAUUAGCUGGUUGGAGGGGUAACGGCCCACCAAGGCGACGAUCAGUAGCCGGCCUGAGAGGGUGAACGGCCACAUUGGGACUGAGACACGGCCCAGACUCCUACGGGAGGCAGCAGUGGGGAAUAUUGCACAAUGGGGGAAACCCUGAUGCAGCGACGCCGCGUGAAGGAAGAAGUAUCUCGGUAUGUAAACUUCUAUCAGCAGGGAAGAAAAUGACGGUACCUGACUAAGAAGCCCCGGCUAACUACGUGCCAGCAGCCGCGGUAAUACGUAGGGGGCAAGCGUUAUCCGGAUUUACUGGGUGUAAAGGGAGCGUAGACGGAAGAGCAAGUCUGAUGUGAAAGGCUGGGGCUUAACCCCAGGACUGCAUUGGAAACUGUUUUUCUAGAGUGCCGGAGAGGUAAGCGGAAUUCCUAGUGUAGCGGUGAAAUGCGUAGAUAUUAGGAGGAACACCAGUGGCGAAGGCGGCUUACUGGA